AACGAACGCUGGCGGCGCGCCUAACGCAUGCAAGUCGAACGAGAAUCCGGGGCAACCCGGUAGUAAAGUGGCAGACGGGUGAGGAAUACAUGGGUAACCUGCCCUUGAGAAGGGAAUAACCCGCCGAAAGGCGAGCUAAUACCCUAUACGCUACAAGUCCUUUGGGAUUUGUAGGAAAGCUAAGCCGUGGGCUUGGCACUCAAGGAGGGGCUCAUGUCCUAUCAGCUUGUUGGUGGGGUAACGGCCUACCAAGGCUACGACGGGUAGCUGGUCUGAGAGGAUGAUCAGCCACACUGGCACUGAGAUACGGGCCAG
This 315-nucleotide ribosomal RNA is filed under the name uncultured bacterium. RNAcentral's name for it is "bacterial SSU rRNA". It matches the Rfam family "Bacterial small subunit ribosomal RNA", at positions 29 to 334 of the family's 1533-position model. The record is from RNAcentral.